RNAcentral lists this ribosomal RNA (502 nucleotides) under uncultured bacterium. RNAcentral describes it as "partial 16S ribosomal RNA". It matches the Rfam family "Bacterial small subunit ribosomal RNA", at positions 29 to 523 of the family's 1533-position model. The record is from RNAcentral.
AUUGAACGCUGGCGGCAUGCCUUACACAUGCAAGUCGAACGGCAGCACGGGAGCUUGCUCCUGGUGGCGAGUGGCGAACGGGUGAGUAAUACAUCGGAACGUACCCAGGAGUGGGGGAUAACGUAGCGAAAGUUACGCUAAUACCGCAUAUUCUGUGAGCAGGAAAGCGGGGGCUCGCAAGACCUAGCGCUCUUGGAGCGGCCGAUGCCGGAUUAGCGAGUUGGUGAGGGAAAAGCUAACCAAGGCGACGAUCCGUAGCAGGUCUGAGAGGAUGAUCUGCCACACUGGGACUGAGACACGGCCCAGACGCCUACGGGAGGCAGCAGUGGGGAAUUUUGGACAAUGGGGGCAACCCUGAUCCAGCCAUGCCGCGUGAGUGAAGAAGGCCUUCGGGUUGUAAAGCUCUUUCGGCGGGGAAGAAAUGGCAACGGCUAAUAUCCGUUGUUGAUGACGGUACCCGCAUAAGAAGCACCGGCUAACUACGUGCCAGCAGCCGCCGUAA